ACUUAAAUUGAAGAGUUUGAUCAUGGCUCAGAUUGAACGCUGGCGGCAGGCCUAACACAUGCAAGUCGAGCGGUAGCACAGAGAGCUUGCUCUCGGGUGACGAGCGGCGGACGGGUGAGUAAUGUCUGGGAAACUGCCUGAUGGAGGGGGAUAACUACUGGAAACGGUAGCUAAUACCGCAUAAUGUCGCAAGACCAAAGUGGGGGACCUUCGGGCCUCAUGCCAUCAGAUGUGCCCAGAUGGGAUUAGCUAGUAGGUGGGGUAACGGCUCACCUAGGCGACGAUCCCUAGCUGGUCUGAGAGGAUGACCAGCCACACUGGAACUGAGACACGGUCCAGACUCCUACGGGAGGCAGCAGUGGGGAAUAUUGCACAAUGGGCGCAAGCCUGAUGCAGCCAUGCCGCGUGUGUGAAGAAGGCCUUCGGGUUGUAAAGCACUUUCAGCGGGGAGGAAGGCGGUGAGGUUAAUAACCUCAUCGAUUGACGUUACCCGCAGAAGAAGCACCGGCUAACUCCGUGCCAGCAGCCGCGGUAAUACGGAGGGUGCAAGCGUUAAUCGGAAUUACUGGGCGUAAAGCGCACGCAGGCGGUCUGUCAAGUCGGAUGUGAAAUCCCCGGGCUCAACCUGGGAACUGCAUUCGAAACUGGCAGGCUAGAGUCUUGUAGAGGGGGGUAGAAUUCCAGGUGUAGCGGUGAAAUGCGUAGAGAUCUGGAGGAAUACCGGUGGCGAAGGCGGCCCCCUGGACAAAGACUGACGCUCAGGUGCGAAAGCGUGGGGAGCAAACAGGAUUAGAUACCCUGGUAGUCCACGCCGUAAACGAUGUCGAUUUGGAGGUUGUGCCCUUGAGGCGUGGCUUCCGGAGCUAACGCGUUAAAUCGACCGCCUGGGGAGUACGGCCGCAAGGUUAAAACUCAAAUGAAUUGACGGGGGCCCGCACAAGCGGUGGAGCAUGUGGUUUAAUUCGAUGCAACGCGAAGAACCUUACCUGGUCUUGACAUCCACAGAACUUUCCAGAGAUGGAUUGGUGCCUUCGGGAACUGUGAGACAGGUGCUGCAUGGCUGUCGUCAGCUCGUGUUGUGAAAUGUUGGGUUAAGUCCCGCAACGAGCGCAACCCUUAUCCUUUGUUGCCAGCGGU
This 1137-nucleotide ribosomal RNA is filed under the name Klebsiella pneumoniae. Its description in RNAcentral is "bacterial SSU rRNA". It matches the Rfam family "Bacterial small subunit ribosomal RNA", at positions 1 to 1125 of the family's 1533-position model. RNAcentral also lists the same sequence under 1 other name. The record is from RNAcentral. Lineage: Bacteria; Pseudomonadati; Pseudomonadota; Gammaproteobacteria; Enterobacterales; Enterobacteriaceae.